CCCAUUUAAUUCUCAAACAAUUUUAUGAGGAAAGUACUGUGGUUUUUCUCACUUUUCAAAUGAGGUUUAGAGAUGUUCAAUAACUUGCUCACAUGGGAUGAUGCUUGCCGUGAUUUUAAUUUGGGGAUCUGCAAAUCCAGUGGUUAAGACUCUGCGUUUCCACUGCAGGAGACAUGGGUUCAGUCCCUGGUUGGGGAACUAAGAUCCUGCAAGCCUCACAGCACAGCCAAAAAAAACAAAACAAACAAAAAAACACAAUUAUACUCCAGCGAACUGAAUAAUCUUUAAAAUAAAUAAAUAAA
Molecule: long non-coding RNA, 302 nt
Organism: Orcinus orca (killer whale)
Lineage: Eukaryota; Metazoa; Chordata; Mammalia; Artiodactyla; Delphinidae
Exons: 2
Source: RefSeq, a predicted model, not a curated record